Molecule: long non-coding RNA, 1338 nt
Organism: Octopus sinensis (East Asian common octopus)
Lineage: Eukaryota; Metazoa; Mollusca; Cephalopoda; Octopoda; Octopodidae
Exons: 2
Source: RefSeq, a predicted model, not a curated record
CAUUAUGUCUACUCGAAGUGGUGGUCCGUGGACCAGUGCCGGUACGCAGCGAGUUCCAAGAAAUGAAAGAAACAAUAGCAUAAUUUCAGUAAUUUCGCCUUAUGCACUGCAGUAAACAACUAACCAGCUGGCCGGUGGAGUGUGCUACUCACCGACCGUGGUAGAGAUUGUAUGGCGAAGCGAGGCCCUAUGGACAUAUUUAUCAAGCCAAGACAUCCAGUUGCUGAACACGAUUUUGAUCAGAUGACAGCGAUGUAAAUGAAACCGAAGUAUUGCCGGCAAAAAGAAUUUGUACUAGCUUCACUUGGAAAUAUGACUCCUCAUACAUUCAAUUCGCUUUUGUAGCCAUGAAUGACAGGGGAGUGCAAAAACCGCAGUGUGUUAUUUGUAGAGAUGUGUUGGCCAAUGACUCAAUGAAGUCAUCAAAUCUCAAGAGACAUUUAAAUACAAAACAUUAAGAAAUGAGUUCAAAGCUGAAAGAAUUAUUUGAAAUAAAGCAUGUUGAUUUAAAAGGCCAUCAGAAACAGAUCUUUGAAGUGUCACACAUAAAUACUUGUGCUUUGUAGGCUUCUUAUAAAGUAACACUUUGAACUGCUAAGGCUAGAGAGCCACACCCAAUCAGUAAGACGCUAGUGAUAGGCUGUAUACAAGAUGUCUGAUCCACUUUCAAAUGACUCUAUAGCUCGACGAAUUCACGAUCUGGCUCAUGAUAUGGAAGAUCAACUUAUAGGACAGAUUAAAUUAGCAAAGUACUUUUCUUUGCAACCUGAUGAAUGUACAGACUUUGCUAAUCAGGCAAUUCUGAUGGUAUUUGUGCGCUUUGAACAUGAAGGUGAUUUGAAGGAAGAGUUUUUUUUUUUGUUUUUUUUCUUUGCUUCACUACCAACAAAAGCAACUAGUUCUGAAGUGUUCAAGACUGUGAGCAACUACAUCAUUAACAAAUAUGGGUUGGAUCUCAAGUUUUGUGUAGGCUUAUGUUCCGAUGGUGCUGCCGCAAUGACAGGACGGCUUUCAGGAGAGGUUACCCAGGUUAAGGCGCUUGCCCCAAAAUGCAAGUCGACACACUGCUUCCUUCACCGAGAAAGUCUUGCAACAAAAAAAUGUCAACAGAACUAAGCAGUGUGCUCGGCGAGGUUGUAAAAAUUGUGAACCACAUAAAGGCGAAUGCUUUAAAUUCGAGACUAUUCGCUGCAUUAUGUGAUAAUAUGAGAGCUAAUCAUAAACAGCUCCUAUAACAUGCACGUUGGUUAUCAAGGGGGAAAGUCCUGUCAAGAGAGUUUGAGCUACAAAACGAGCUUGCUGAGUUUCUUCAGGACAAAAAUCCAAAUUGAUUACAAU